AUUGAACGCUGGCGGCAUGCUUUACACAUGCAAGUCGAGCGGUAACAGGCCUUCGGGUGCUGACGAGUGGCGAACGGGUGAGUAAUGCAUCGGAACGUACCCAGAGGUGGGGGAUAACGCAGCGAAAGCUGUGCUAAUACCGCAUGUGAUCUGAGGAUGAAAGCGGGGGACCGAGCAGCAAUGUUUGGCCUCGCGCCUUUGGAGCGGCCGAUGUCGGAUUAGCUAGUUGGUGGGGUAAAGGCCUACCAAGGCGACGAUCCGUAGCUGGUCUGAGAGGACGACCAGCCACACUGGGACUGAGACAUGGCCCAGACUCCUACGGGAGGCAGCAGUGGGGAAUUUUGGACAAUGGGCGCAAGCCUGAUCCAGCAAUGCCGCGUGCGGGAAGAAGGCCUUCGGGUUGUAAACCGCUUUUGGCAGGAACGAAACGGUGUCCGCUAAUACCGGGCGCUAAUGACGGUACCUGCAGAAUAAGCACCGGCUAACUACGUG
This 492-nucleotide ribosomal RNA is filed under the name uncultured bacterium. RNAcentral's name for it is "partial 16S ribosomal RNA". It matches the Rfam family "Bacterial small subunit ribosomal RNA", at positions 29 to 507 of the family's 1533-position model. The record is from RNAcentral.